This 2902-nucleotide ribosomal RNA is filed under the name Klebsiella quasipneumoniae. Its description in RNAcentral is "23S ribosomal RNA". It matches the Rfam family "Bacterial large subunit ribosomal RNA". Lineage: Bacteria; Pseudomonadati; Pseudomonadota; Gammaproteobacteria; Enterobacterales; Enterobacteriaceae. The record is from RNAcentral.
GGUUAAGCGACUAAGCGUACACGGUGGAUGCCCUGGCAGUCAGAGGCGAUGAAGGACGUGCUAAUCUGCGAAAAGCGUCGGUAAGGUGAUAUGAACCGUUAUAGCCGGCGAUGUCCGAAUGGGGAAACCCAGUGCAAUUCGUUGCACUAUCGUUAACUGAAUACAUAGGUUAACGAGGCGAACCGGGGGAACUGAAACAUCUAAGUACCCCGAGGAAAAGAAAUCAACCGAGAUUCCCCCAGUAGCGGCGAGCGAACGGGGAGCAGCCCAGAGUCUGAAUCAGCUUGUGUGUUAGUGGAACGGUCUGGAAAGUCCGACGGUACAGGGUGAUAGUCCCGUACACCAAAAUGCACAGGCUGUGAACUCGAAGAGUAGGGCGGGACACGUGGUAUCCUGUCUGAAUAUGGGGGGACCAUCCUCCAAGGCUAAAUACUCCUGACUGACCGAUAGUGAACCAGUACCGUGAGGGAAAGGCGAAAAGAACCCCGGCGAGGGGAGUGAAAAAGAACCUGAAACCGUGUACGUACAAGCAGUGGGAGCACCUUCGGGUGUGACUGCGUACCUUUUGUAUAAUGGGUCAGCGACUUAUAUUCUGUAGCAAGGUUAACCGUAUAGGGGAGCCGCAGGGAAACCGAGUCUUAACUGGGCGUUAAGUUGCAGGGUAUAGACCCGAAACCCGGUGAUCUAGCCAUGGGCAGGUUGAAGGUUGGGUAACACUAACUGGAGGACCGAACCGACUAAUGUUGAAAAAUUAGCGGAUGACUUGUGGCUGGGGGUGAAAGGCCAAUCAAACCGGGAGAUAGCUGGUUCUCCCCGAAAGCUAUUUAGGUAGCGCCUCGUGAACUCAUCUUCGGGGGUAGAGCACUGUUUCGGCUAGGGGGUCAUCCCGACUUACCAACCCGAUGCAAACUACGAAUACCGAAGAAUGUUAUCACGGGAGACACACGGCGGGUGCUAACGUCCGUCGUGAAGAGGGAAACAACCCAGACCGCCAGCUAAGGUCCCAAAGUCAUGGUUAAGUGGGAAACGAUGUGGGAAGGCACAGACAGCCAGGAUGUUGGCUUAGAAGCAGCCAUCAUUUAAAGAAAGCGUAAUAGCUCACUGGUCGAGUCGGCCUGCGCGGAAGAUGUAACGGGGCUAAACCAUGCACCGAAGCUGCGGCAGCGACACUAUGUGUUGUUGGGUAGGGGAGCGUUCUGUAAGCCUGCGAAGGUGGCCUGUGAGGGUUGCUGGAGGUAUCAGAAGUGCGAAUGCUGACAUAAGUAACGAUAAAGCGGGUGAAAAGCCCGCUCGCCGGAAGACCAAGGGUUCCUGUCCAACGUUAAUCGGGGCAGGGUGAGUCGACCCCUAAGGCGAGGCCGAAAGGCGUAGUCGAUGGGAAACAGGUUAAUAUUCCUGUACUUGGUGUUACUGCGAAGGGGGGACGGAGAAGGCUAUGUUAGCCGGGCGACGGUUGUCCCGGUUUAAGCAUGUAGGCUGGUUAUCCAGGCAAAUCCGGAUAAUCAAGGCUGAGGUGUGAUGACGAGGUACUACGGUGCUGAAGUAACAAAUGCCCUGCUUCCAGGAAAAGCCUCUAAGCAUCAGGUAACAUCAAAUCGUACCCCAAACCGACACAGGUGGUCAGGUAGAGAAUACCAAGGCGCUUGAGAGAACUCGGGUGAAGGAACUAGGCAAAAUGGUGCCGUAACUUCGGGAGAAGGCACGCUGGUGUGUAGGUGAAGUCCCUGCGGAUGGAGCUGAGACCAGUCGAAGAUACCAGCUGGCUGCAACUGUUUAUUAAAAACACAGCACUGUGCAAACACGAAAGUGGACGUAUACGGUGUGACGCCUGCCCGGUGCCGGAAGGUUAAUUGAUGGGGUUAUCCGUAAGGAGAAGCUCUUGAUCGAAGCCCCGGUAAACGGCGGCCGUAACUAUAACGGUCCUAAGGUAGCGAAAUUCCUUGUCGGGUAAGUUCCGACCUGCACGAAUGGCGUAAUGAUGGCCAGGCUGUCUCCACCCGAGACUCAGUGAAAUUGAACUCGCUGUGAAGAUGCAGUGUACCCGCGGCAAGACGGAAAGACCCCGUGAACCUUUACUAUAGCUUGACACUGAACAUUGAGCCUUGAUGUGUAGGAUAGGUGGGAGGCUUUGAAGCGUGGACGCCAGUCUGCGUGGAGCCAACCUUGAAAUACCACCCUUUAAUGUUUGAUGUUCUAACGUUGGCCCCUUAUCGGGGUUGCGGACAGUGUCUGGUGGGUAGUUUGACUGGGGCGGUCUCCUCCCAAAGCGUAACGGAGGAGCACGAAGGUUAGCUAAUCCUGGUCGGACAUCAGGAGGUUAGUGCAAUGGCAUAAGCUAGCUUGACUGCGAGCGUGACGGCGCGAGCAGGUGCGAAAGCAGGUCAUAGUGAUCCGGUGGUUCUGAAUGGAAGGGCCAUCGCUCAACGGAUAAAAGGUACUCCGGGGAUAACAGGCUGAUACCGCCCAAGAGUUCAUAUCGACGGCGGUGUUUGGCACCUCGAUGUCGGCUCAUCACAUCCUGGGGCUGAAGUAGGUCCCAAGGGUAUGGCUGUUCGCCAUUUAAAGUGGUACGCGAGCUGGGUUUAGAACGUCGUGAGACAGUUCGGUCCCUAUCUGCCGUGGGCGCUGGAGAAUUGAGGGGGGCUGCUCCUAGUACGAGAGGACCGGAGUGGACGCAUCACUGGUGUUCGGGUUGUCAUGCCAAUGGCACUGCCCGGUAGCUAAAUGCGGAAGAGAUAAGUGCUGAAAGCAUCUAAGCACGAAACUUGCCCCGAGAUGAGUUCUCCCUGAGACUUUAAGUCUCCUGAAGGAACGUUAAAGACGAUGACGUUGAUAGGCCGGGUGUGUAAGCGCAGCGAUGCGUUGAGCUAACCGGUACUAAUGAACCGUGAGGCUUAACCUU